This 460-nucleotide long non-coding RNA is filed under the name Homo sapiens (human). RNAcentral describes it as "non-protein coding lnc-DHCR7-3:1". Lineage: Eukaryota; Metazoa; Chordata; Mammalia; Primates; Hominidae. The record is from RNAcentral.
CCCGAGCAAGACCAACAAUUGCUGAAUAAACACAAACCCCCUUGAGAAUCACGCCGACAGGUGCUAUCUCUUCACCUGGGGAUUGCAAAGGAAGUGAGAACAUCCCCGAGCAAGACCAAAAAUUGCUGAAUAAACACAAACCCCCUUGAGAAUCACGCCAAGAGGUGCUGCCUCUUCACCUGGGGAUUGCAAAGGUAUUACAGCACUGUACAGUUUACUAAACACAAGUCUUCACAUCAGUCCUCUUCUCUGCAGCCACAUGACUCAAGCAGGCACAGGACCCAUCAGGAACACCAGAGUCCUGAGCAGGAAGAAUGUCUCCUGUCGCAGCCUUGGGGGGAGUCAGGCAUGAUGUGCCCGAUGGUGCAGCAGGACACGAUGAUGUCAGAGCUGCCUGGGACAUAUUGAACUUCCUGAUUUUUUCUUCUUGUGAUGGAAUAAAUGAUUUUGGAUUAAGAUG